RNAcentral lists this ribosomal RNA (738 nucleotides) under Elsinoe punicae. Its description in RNAcentral is "eukaryotic LSU rRNA". It matches the Rfam family "Eukaryotic large subunit ribosomal RNA", at positions 133 to 891 of the family's 3401-position model. The record is from RNAcentral. Lineage: Eukaryota; Fungi; Ascomycota; Dothideomycetes; Myriangiales; Elsinoaceae.
GGCGUCCGAGUUGUAAUUUGUAGAGGAUGCUAUUGAGUUGUCACCGGUCUAAGUUCCUUGGAACAGGACGUCACAGAGGGUGAGAAUCCCGUAUGUGACCGGCCAGACGCUCUCUGUAUAGCUCCUUCGACGAGUCGGGUUGUUUGGGAAUGCAGCCCUAAAUGGGAGGUAAAUUUCUUCUAAAGCUAAAUACCGGCCAGAGACCGAUAGCGCACAAGUAGAGUGAUCGAAAGAUGAAAAGCACUUUGGAAAGAGAGUUAAAAAGCACGUGAAAUUGUUGAAAGGGAAGCGCUUGCAAUCAGUCUCGACGGCGGCUGUUCGGCCUCUCUUCUGAGUGGUUUAUUCAGUCGCCGCCGGGCCAGCAUCAGUUCUGGCGGUCGGACAAAGGCGCAGGGAAUGUAGCUCCUCUCGGGGAGUGUUAUAGCCCUGUGUGCAAUACGGCCCGCCGGGACUGAGGUCCGCGCUUCGGCUAGGAUGCUGGCGAAAUGGUUGUAAGCGGCCCGUCUUGAAACACGGACCAAGGAGUCUAACAUCUAUGCGAGUGUUUGGGUGUCAAACCCGUACGCGUAAUGAAAGUGAACGGAGGUGGGAACCGCAAGGUGCACCAUCGACCGAUCCUGAUGUCUUCGGAUGGAUUUGAGUAAGAGCAUAGCUGUUGGGACCCGAAAGAUGGUGAACUAUGCCUGAAUAGGGUGAAGCCAGAGGAAACUCUGGUGGAGGCUCGCAGCGGUUCUGACG